GAAGUUAUUUGUUGGCGAAGAGUAUAUAAAGGCCUAUGUGUGUGUGUGUUUCACAUCUUUAUCAAACUCUUCAGCCACUCGUCAUGAACAAAAACACAUUGCUGGUCCUUUUGUGUCUGCAGGCGAUCCUGCUCAUCACGGCCUCAUCUGAGAUGACAGCUGAACAGCCGACACCGACAGAGGAGAUAACUUCUGUACACAACACGAAGGUGAAAAGCCCAAAUGUUAAACAUCUGAAAAAAUGCCGCGUGACACAAGCAGGAUGUCGACGACACCACACAAAACCACAGCAGGGAUCAGACAUAAAGCCACAACCCUACAGACCCAAAACUCGUAGAGGGAGUCUGGCUCCAAUUCUGAUACAGUAAAGGAAUGAAGUGAAGGAGUGAUCACGUCUAGCGCUGAGUCUCCUGCUUUGUUUCUUCUGAAGAUGAUGAAAUAAAAAGAAAAACAGAAAUGAAGACCGACACUAUAACUAUAAAAAUCACAAUAUUUCUCAGACCAGUGGUAUAUAAGAAAUAUGUGUGUAAUAUAAAAAGGUUAUUAAGGCACUACAUAAAUGAAUGUAUCUGAUACAAUUAUAAUUUGAUGUUUAUGUUCACAAGUUUUGAAUGUGGCCUUGUUCAUUUUACUGGUUUUGAUGAAAUAAAGAGUAAGUUUUCAGA
Molecule: long non-coding RNA, 665 nt
Organism: Maylandia zebra (zebra mbuna)
Lineage: Eukaryota; Metazoa; Chordata; Actinopteri; Cichliformes; Cichlidae
Source: RefSeq, a predicted model, not a curated record